UUGCUUUAAUUAUCUCCAAAAGUUAAAACUUAUGCCUACAAAUUCUUAAAUGUGGAAUUGAGUUUUGGAUAGCUAUAUUUAAGCUUCAUUUUACUCUAUUCAAGGUACUAUGGUUCAGAUAAAACCACAAUUGAAAAACUAAAUUGAUCGAAGUCACCGCCUCUUCACAAUCCUAUGUCGACAGAUAAGAAGAAGACCACCAUUUUUAGCUCACAACACCAGAAGCGCCAACACUCAGUGGAAACUACUUCUAAAAUCAACUUUAGAAGACGUGAGCUAUAUCAAAAACUUUCACCUGAUAAAAAAUAGGCUCUUUUAUUGUGUCGAUGAUUAAAAAGGCUUGAAUCAAGAAGUCACUGUGCAAGGGUAUCAUGUUCCCAAACUGGAGUUGAGUUGCAUCCAAAAACAACACUGACAAUAUGUGAGUCAUCUUUUGUUUCUACGAGAGGUUAGAAAUGAGAAAAAUAUUAUGUUCUUUUUGUGUCAUCAAUAGAAAAACUUUUCUCUUUUUCUUCGAUUAUAGUUAGACGCAAUUUUCUAAUGCUCAACAUUCUGCAAUUCCUACACUAGCUGAUAUAUCCUCCAUUCAUGCCACAAAGCCUAUCUCUGACAAAGGAAAAACUAUUGUUGAGUAUUUCACUGUGUUUGAAGUUGUUUCAAUGUCUACUGCACCGCAUCAACACCACGAUUCACGCGCAUUGGCUAUUGCAGAGAAAGGUUUAUCACACUUUAUUUUUCUACCAACUUUUGCUACUAAUCAUUAU
Long non-coding RNA from Capsicum annuum, 764 nucleotides. RefSeq lists it as uncharacterized. The transcript is spliced from 3 exons. The record is from RefSeq and is a predicted model, not a curated record. NCBI's taxonomy places the organism in Eukaryota, Viridiplantae, Streptophyta, Magnoliopsida, Solanales, Solanaceae.